This 463-nucleotide ribosomal RNA is filed under the name uncultured bacterium. RNAcentral describes it as "partial 16S ribosomal RNA". It matches the Rfam family "Bacterial small subunit ribosomal RNA", at positions 28 to 507 of the family's 1533-position model. The record is from RNAcentral.
GAUGAACGCUGACAGAAUGCUUAACACAUGCAAGUCUUUGGCGAAGCUGUGCUUGCACAGCCUAGCCAAGGCGGACGGGUGAGUAACGCGUAAGGAACUUGCCCUGCAGUCAGGGAUAACAGACGGAAACGACUGAUAAGACCUGGUAAAGUCAGGCGGACUCAUGUCCAGCCUGAUGAAAAGAGAUGCUGCAGGAGAGCCUUGCGUCCUAUUAGCUUGUUGGUGGGGUAACGGCCCACCAAGGCGAUGAUAGGUAGCCGGCCUGAGAGGGUGGACGGCCACAAGGGGACUGAGAUACGGCCCUUACUCCUACGGGAGGCAGCAGUGGGGAAUAUUGGACAAUGGGGGCAACCCUGAUCCAGCAAUUCUGUGCGCACGAUGAAGGUUUUCGGAGUGUAAAGUGCUUUCAGCAGGGAAGAAAAAAAUGACGGUACCUGCAGAAGAAGCGACGGCUAAAUACGUG